GAUGAACGCUGGCGGCGUGCUUAACACAUGCAAGUCGAACGAAGCACUUUAUUUGAUUUCCUUCGGGACUGAUUAUUUUGUGACUGAGUGGCGGACGGGUGAGUAACGCGUGGGUAACCUGCCUUGUACAGGGGGAUAACAGUUGGAAACGGCUGCUAAUACCGCAUAAGCGCACGGCAUCGCAUGAUGCAGUGUGAAAAACUCCGGUGGUAUAAGAUGGACCCGCGUUGGAUUAGCUAGUUGGUGAGGUAACGGCCCACCAAGGCGACGAUCCAUAGCCGACAUGAGAGGGUGACCGGACACAUUGGGACUGAGACACGGCCCAAACUCCUACGGGAGGCAGCAGUGGGGAAUAUUGCACAAUGGGGGAAAGCCUGAUGCAGCGACGCCGCGUGAGCGAAGAAGUAUUUGGGUAUGUAAAGCUCUAUCAGCAGGGAAGAUAAUGACGGUACCUGACUAAGAAGCACCGGCUAAAUACGUG
RNAcentral lists this ribosomal RNA (481 nucleotides) under uncultured bacterium. RNAcentral describes it as "partial 16S ribosomal RNA". It matches the Rfam family "Bacterial small subunit ribosomal RNA", at positions 28 to 507 of the family's 1533-position model. The record is from RNAcentral.